Small nucleolar RNA from Prolemur simus (greater bamboo lemur), 131 nucleotides. NCBI's taxonomy places the organism in Eukaryota, Metazoa, Chordata, Mammalia, Primates, Lemuridae. The record is from Ensembl.
GCCAAGGCUAGAGUCACAUCUUGUCACAGCUCUUGUCCUGGUGUGCUCGAAUCCUCGAAGAGAAUCUGCUGGUCUUGAUUCACUGGCAGGGACGGUCAGUGCCCCCAUUAGUGCCCAGGUCAGUAACAUAC